UAGCAUUUCAACUUAUCAUCAUUCGUAGGUGCAAAGGUUGUACUGGUCAGAAUUUAGACCAGACACCAAAAUAUGGCUUCGUUUUGGCUUACAACUGGUCUAUUGUUGAUUCUUUUAACCACCCUAACUACGGCUGAUGUUCAGAAAACGUUUGUUUCCUGACAAAAAAGCGGUGAUGCCAGCCUCUGACAGGAACUGCAACAGGCUGGAGCAGUGGUCAAAGAUGACGCUGAGAAAACUUCCGAGCUAAAGGUAAAAUGGAAAAGAGAUGCAGAGAGGCGAGAUGAUAUUAUUGAACGGUUCGUUGCGAUGAGAAAAAAGAGUUAAGAAAAACCGCGGUGAAGAGUGCAGAAGACAUCGGACAUGGGGAAUAUUUUUAAAAUAAUAUCGUGAUAAAUUAAUUUGCAUAUGCAUGAUUACUUAAAAGAUCAGCAAUACAAGAGAUAAGGCCAUUGAUUUAAAAAAAUUGGUGAAAAUGUUAGAUUGCGCAUUCUUCUUGUUUAAUCAUCACACGAGUGAACUUUGAACUUUUUUCAUCGAAAUUGCUUAAAAUGAUUUUUUUCUAGGAGUUUCCUUAAUUAAAGUACAAGUAUAGCGUAACAAUUUUUUGCACUAAAACACCAGGUUGCCUUAUCUCUUAUAAUGUUUUAAACUAAAGUUAUUUUGAUCGAAGGGUAUUUUCUUGGGUAUAAAUUUUGAUAGAUUCAGCAUUUUAAUGACAUUGUUCUUAGUGAUUAUGACAGCAUUUGGUCAAAACUUUGUGAAACCAUUUGCUGGAAGCUCUGUUCACACAAAGACAUUUGAAAUAAAAUGAAUAUGAUUUGCAUUAA
Dendronephthya gigantea is the source of this 830-nucleotide long non-coding RNA. RefSeq lists it as uncharacterized. The record is from RefSeq and is a predicted model, not a curated record. Lineage: Eukaryota; Metazoa; Cnidaria; Anthozoa; Malacalcyonacea; Nephtheidae. The transcript is spliced from 5 exons.